This is a long non-coding RNA of Drosophila innubila, 102 nucleotides long. RefSeq lists it as uncharacterized. The transcript is spliced from 2 exons. The record is from RefSeq and is a predicted model, not a curated record. Lineage: Eukaryota; Metazoa; Arthropoda; Insecta; Diptera; Drosophilidae.
AAAAACGAAAACGCACGCACAAAACGAAAAAGGUAACUUGAGCUACUUGUGGGUCGCAACAACGGAGAGCGAGUUUUAAAAAAAGUAAAACUAAAAUAGCAA